CCUACGGGAGGCAGCAGUGGGGAAUAUUGGACAAUGGGGGGAACCCUGAUCCAGCCAUGCCGCGUGUGUGAAGAAGGCCUUAUGGUUGUAAAGCACUUUAAGCGAGGAGGAGGCUACUGAGACUAAUACUCUUGGAUAGUGGACGUUACUCGCAGAAUAAGCACCGGCUAACUCUGUGCCAGCAGCCGCGGUAAU
RNAcentral lists this ribosomal RNA (195 nucleotides) under uncultured marine bacterium. RNAcentral describes it as "partial 16S ribosomal RNA". It matches the Rfam family "Bacterial small subunit ribosomal RNA", at positions 338 to 524 of the family's 1533-position model. The record is from RNAcentral. RNAcentral also lists the same sequence under 2 other names.